CCUACGGGGUGCAGCAGUGGGGAAUAUUGCACAAUGGACGAAAGUCUGAUGCAGCAACGCCGCGUGGAGGAUGACACAUUUCGGUGCGUAAACUCCUUUUAUAUGAGAAGAUAAUGACGGUAUUAUAUGAAUAAGCACCGGCUAACUCCGUGCCAGCAGCCGCGGUAAUACGGGGGGUGCAAGCGUUACUCGGAAUCACUGGGCGUAAAGAGCAUGUAGGCGGAUUAAUAAGUUUGAAGUGAAAUCCUAUAGCUUAACUAUAGAACUGCUUUGAAAACUGUUAAUCUAGAAUGUGGGAGAGGUAGAUGGAAUUUCUGGUGUAGGGGUAAAAUCCGUAGAGAUCAGAAGGAAUACCGAUUGCGAAGGCGAUCUACUGGAACAUUAUUGACGCUGAGAUGCGAAAGCGUGGGGAGCAAACAGGAUUAGAUACCCCCGUAGUC
RNAcentral lists this ribosomal RNA (440 nucleotides) under uncultured bacterium. RNAcentral describes it as "bacterial SSU rRNA". It matches the Rfam family "Bacterial small subunit ribosomal RNA", at positions 338 to 795 of the family's 1533-position model. The record is from RNAcentral.